GAUGAACGCUGACAGAAUGCUUAACACAUGCAAGUCAACUUGAACUUCGGUUUGGGUGGCUGACGGGUGAGUAACGCGUAAAGAACUUGCCUCACAGUUAGGGACAACAUUUGGAAACGAAUGCUAAUACCUGAUAUUAUGAUUUUAGGGCAUCCUAGAAUUAUGAAAGCUAUAUGCGCUGUGAGAGAGCUUUGCGUCCCAUUAGCUAGUUGGAGAGGUAACGGCUCACCAAGGCGAUGAUGGGUAGCCGGCCUGAGAGGGUGAACGGCCACAAGGGGACUGAGACACGGCCCUUACUCCUACGGGAGGCAGCAGUGGGGAAUAUUGGACAAUGGACCAAGAGUCUGAUCCAGCAAUUCUGUGUGCACGAUGAAGUUUUUCGGAAUGUAAAGUGCUUUCAGUUGGGAAGAAAAAAAUGACGAUACCAACAGAAGAAGUGACGGCUAAAUACGUG
Molecule: ribosomal RNA, 454 nt
Filed under: uncultured bacterium
Lineage: Bacteria
Description: partial 16S ribosomal RNA
Rfam family: Bacterial small subunit ribosomal RNA
Source: RNAcentral